RNAcentral lists this small nuclear RNA (21 nucleotides) under Arabidopsis thaliana (thale cress). RNAcentral's name for it is "snRNA_19195". The record is from RNAcentral. Lineage: Eukaryota; Viridiplantae; Streptophyta; Magnoliopsida; Brassicales; Brassicaceae.
CUAAAUUAUCGGUUUUAACAU